RNAcentral lists this ribosomal RNA (428 nucleotides) under uncultured Eubacteriales bacterium. RNAcentral's name for it is "bacterial SSU rRNA". It matches the Rfam family "Bacterial small subunit ribosomal RNA", at positions 954 to 1382 of the family's 1533-position model. The record is from RNAcentral. Lineage: Bacteria; Bacillati; Bacillota; Clostridia; Eubacteriales.
AAGCAACGCGAAGAACCUUACCAGAGCUUGUACAUCCCGUUUGACCGGUCCGUAAUGGGACCUUCUCUUCGGAGCAAAGGUGACAGGUGGUGCAUGGUUGUCGUCAGCUCGUGUCGUGAGAUGUUGGGUUAAGUCCCGCAACGAGCGCAACCCUUAUCAUUAGUUGCCAUCAUUCAGUUGGGCACUCUAGUGAGACUGCCGGGGACAACUCGGAGGAAGGUGGGGAUGACGUCAAAUCAUCAUGCCCCUUAUGUUCUGGGCUACACACGUGCUACAAUGGCCGGUACAGAGAGACGCAAUAUCGUGAGGUGGAGCAAAACUCUAAAACCGGUCCCAGUUCGGAUUGUAGGCUGCAACUCGACUGCGUGAAGUCGGAAUCGCUAGUAAUCGCGGAUCAGCUUGCCGCGGUGAAUACGUUCCCGGGUCUU